Molecule: non-coding RNA, 2142 nt
Organism: Triticum urartu
Lineage: Eukaryota; Viridiplantae; Streptophyta; Magnoliopsida; Poales; Poaceae
Source: RefSeq, a predicted model, not a curated record
UCCUCCCCAGAUCCGCUUCUCCCCCAAACCAUCUCAUCUUCUUAUUCCACCCGUCCGCCAUGAUUGUUGCAGAGGAGGAGGAGGAAGGGGAUGGCAAAAUCUCGGGAGAGAAAAAAGCCGGCAAGCAAGCGAGAAGGAUGUCAUGGCAGACAUACGUUGACGAGCCGCUGCUCUGCGACAUCGACGGCCAGCGCCUCACCGCCGCCCCAUCCUUGGCCAUGAUGGCACUGCUUGGGCACAGUCCGAGUCCUUCCCCGAGGUCCUCCUUCUUCGUUAAAUUAUCUACAUCUACUGCUCCCAUUGAUACUCCUUGUUCUGUUUUACUUAAUUUACUUGGUCGAUCUAUGUUUGACUUGACUGAGAUCUCGCUUGUCCGAGUGGCUGCAAGCCUGAUGCGUUGGUGAAUUCAUUUUUUACUUGCUUGUUGUAACCGUAAUCUACGAUGCACAAAGUACCCGUGUAGUUGGUUGGUUCUACAGGCACGCUGCUGGUUGGAGGGGGGUAUAAGCAUCUGUAACUUACUAAUGGAAGCACAUUGCAGGGUGAUAUCUAUGUGGCCAUACAGAUGAAAGUUGAUUUUCCAGCUAGCCCAAAAAAAUACAAUUACCAAAAUUUAGAAGUAUUGAUUUAAUGGUACAAGUAAUUCCUAUAGAGAUAUGGCUUGGAUCAUCAGAUUGCAGGGAGCAUAAAGUUUGUUUGUGUUGUUACUAUUUCAAACUGUAUUAAACCGUGGCUACAUAUUUUUUAGUGAAUGAACGGGGAAGGAAGAUCCACUGCUCGAUAUUCUUUUUUGCGACUCCAUUAGUUUGUAUGUUCAGUUGGCAAACUUUUGCUCUUUUAUGUUACACAUCAUUCUUGUUUUUUUUUCUUUUUGAAAGAUUACAUUGCAUCAGUCUUAUGACUUAUGAUCAGUGUGUUUCUACAUUCAACAGAUCAAACCUGAAGAACUUACUGCAGUAAUAAAUGACUUCGAUGAACCACGCACUUUGGCACCAACUGGAUUAUUCCAUGGUGGUACAAAGUCGCCAUGAAGAGAACCCAAUGUUCCAGCUAGACGGACCUGCUGGUAUUUUAUAAUCUGGUCAUUAGCGGAUGGUCUUCAAGUAAAGCUAAAUGUGAGCCACACCAAUUUCCUUUAGUUCUUGAGAAUUUUGUUGUUGUCCUUUCGAUUAACAAUCUGCCACAAUGCUAAUGACACUUGCUUUCUCUUUCUAAAAUGCAUGUGUGUUUUUCUCAAGUGUCCUCACUAUUUGAGGAUUGUUACUGUGUGACAAAGCAAGGCAAUGCAAAAAAGUGCAUGUGCUUUUCUUUGUUUAUCAAGUAGUUACUCUAAAAUACGAUAUGCCUUCUGGAAUUUUUGCCCUACAAAAUACAUGUAUCAUCUCCUCAUUGAUUCUGAUCUAAUGCGGAGAUUAUUUCUACACUAUGACUGCGUUUUAUUUUCGUAUAUAUGCAUAUCGCGGCCAGAGUGAUAAGCUGGUUGCACAUGCAUCAUCGUCGUAAGCUGGAUGAGCAAGGCUAGCGACGAGAUCAUGGUGAGGAUGGACUAGCGGGCACAGGGAUCCAACAUGAGGUACAUAGAGAUCAAGGUGCACACUAUCAAGAGGCCUUCUCCAGAGGAUCUAAGACUGGACAUAUGACACUUCUGAUAAUUCAAACAACCUUUGCCAAUAAAGCAGCAUGGGCUAGAGAAAUAGCGCUAAAACUUCAUUAAGUCGAAGUAAGCAGUAUCCAUUCUAAAUGGCCUUCUUUCUUCCUCAUAUGUCAAUUGCAAACAAACAUGCUUCUGCUGAUGCUUAGAAGAAGCUAAGGAGUUUUUCUCAAUGACGGUUCUGACUUUGAUAAUUUAUUAGAAGAAAGAGUGGAAAAAAAUGAGAGGAUGCUGAAAUGACUCAAAUAGAACUACUAGAUCUCCGUGCUAGCAAGCUAAGUAUGUUCGAGGAAAUAAUGCGAUGCAAAAAAUUUUCUUGUGAUCGUGGGGAUUGUUUACAGAAUUUGCAAUUUUGAUUCGCUUCAUUGCAAAAAUGAUACUGUUUAGAUUUUAUUAGUAGAAAUGACUGUAAGUCCAACAUUUGACCAUAGAAGGUUUUAUAAUCUUCAGUAAAUAGUAUGGUAUUAUAACAUCUAGAAUUGAUGGUUUUA